GACGAACGCUGGCGGCGUGCUUAACACAUGCAAGUCGAACGGAAAGGCUCCAGCUUGCUGGAGUACUCGAGUGGCGAACGGGUGAGUAACACGUGGGUAAUCUGCCCUGCACUCUGGGAUAAGCCUGGGAAACUGGGUCUAAUACUGGAUAUGACCUUUCUCCUUAUGGGGUUUGGUGGAAAGUUUUUCGGUGUAGGAUGAGCCCGCGGCCUAUCAGCUUGUUGGUGGGGUGAUGGCCUACCAAGGCGACGACGGGUAGCCGGCCUGAGAGGGUGAGCGGCCACAUUGGGACGGAGAUACGGCGGAGCCUCCUCCGGGGGCAACCAGUGUGGAAUAUUGAACACUGGGCGGAAGCCGUAUGCCGCGACGCGGCGUGACGGAGGAGGGGCGUCGGGUCGUACACAGGAUUCAGCGGGGACGAAGCGUAAGGCAGGGGAAUUACAGAAGAAGCACCGCCGAAUCAGCUC
This 467-nucleotide ribosomal RNA is filed under the name uncultured bacterium. RNAcentral's name for it is "partial 16S ribosomal RNA". It matches the Rfam family "Bacterial small subunit ribosomal RNA", at positions 28 to 493 of the family's 1533-position model. The record is from RNAcentral.